AAAAACAUGGCCUUUUGAAAAAAAUUUAAGGUCUAGCCUGCUCAAUGAAUAUUAAAUAGCCGCAGUAUCUUAACUGUGCAAAGGUAGCAUAAUCAUUAGUUUUUUAAUUGAAAGCUGGAAUGAAGGGUUGAAUGAGAAAAUAACUGUCUCUAUAAUAAUUUUUUAGAAUUUUAUUUUUAAGUAAAAAAGCUUAAAUUUAAGUAAAAGACGAGAAGACCCUAUAGAGUUUUAUAUUUAUAAAUUAUAUUUAUUUUUUAGUAUUUUAAAUUUUAUUAUUUUUUAAUAUUUAGUUGGGGUGAUUGGAAAAUUAAUUAAACUUUUCUUGUAUAAGUACAUUUAUAUAUGAAAUUAUGAUCCUUUAAUUUGAGAUUAUAAGAUAAAAUUACCUUAGGGAUAACAGCGUAAUGUUUUUUGAGAGUUCUUAUCGAAAGAAAAUAUUGCGACCUCGAUGUUGGAUUAAAAUAAAUUUUUGGUGUAGAAGCUAAAUUAAUUAGGUCUGUUCGACCUUUAAAAUUUUACUUGAUCUGAGUU
Molecule: ribosomal RNA, 531 nt
Filed under: Ceutorhynchus arator
Lineage: Eukaryota; Metazoa; Arthropoda; Insecta; Coleoptera; Curculionidae
Description: partial 16S ribosomal RNA
Rfam family: Bacterial large subunit ribosomal RNA
Source: RNAcentral